RNAcentral lists this ribosomal RNA (1143 nucleotides) under Triticum aestivum (bread wheat). RNAcentral's name for it is "partial small subunit ribosomal RNA". Lineage: Eukaryota; Viridiplantae; Streptophyta; Magnoliopsida; Poales; Poaceae. The record is from RNAcentral.
AUGGCGGCGCCCGUUGGAUCGCUACCCUGCAAAUUUCUCGGGUUGCCGCUCUCCCUACGCAAGCUGAGAAAGGUUGAGUUGCAGCCGCUCCUUGACAAGCUGCUAGCUAGACUCGCCUCCUGGAAACUCAAGCUGCUCACACUGGCUGGGCGGCUCGUCCUGCUCAAUGCAGUGCUCUCGGCGUUCACCGUCUACUGGAUGUCGGUCCACGUGUUGCAGUCCUGCGCGCGCCGUGCCAUCGACCGUGCCCGCCGUGCUUGGCUUUGGAAGGGGCAGGAGGAGUGCCAUGGCGGCCACUGUAAAGUUGCGUGGGGCAGGAUCUGCAGACCGCGGGAUCUUGGGGGCCUGGGGAUCCUGGACAUUGCCCGUUUUGGCACUGCACCGCGCCUCCGCUGGCUCUGGGUAGAGAGAACGACAGUGCAACGGCCUUGGUUUGGUCUCCCAGUGCCUUGUUCGUUGGAGGACAGAGCCCUAUUUGCUGCGGCUACUGUUGCAGUGGUGCAUGACGGUCGAACGGCGUCGUUCUGGUUCGACAGCUGGGUCAAUGGCUCGGCGCCCUUUCUUCUGGUGCCGCAGAUCUUCGGUCUCUCGCGUCGCAAAUGGAGGACUGUGCGUGAUGCCCUUGAUGGCAGCAAGUGGGUGCAAGACCUUAGGGGCCGCAUCACUGCCGACCUGCUCUCGGAGUUCGUGGACCUCUGGAUAAGGAUUGAAGCGGCGGCGACGCUGUCGGAAGGGCAUGACGAAUUCUCUUGGACGCCCUCUGCAAGAGGCUGCUACUCCUCAGCCUCGGCCUACCGAUUGCAAUUCCUUGGAUCUUCCUCAUCCCCGAUCAUUGACACAGUUUGGAGAGCUUGGGCCCCAGCUAAGUGCAAGCUCCAUGCAUGGCUCUUCUCCAUUGGCAGGUUGCUUACGGCUGACAGGCUCAUGAAGAGACGGUGGCCAAACUGCUACUUCUGUCCGCUUUGCCGGAGAAAUCUGGAAACACAUGACCAUCUCUUCAUCGACUGUGCAUGGUCGCGCGAUCUGUGGCAAGCGGUCGCCAUUCGCUUUCGCUGUACUUCCCGACCCGCUACGUGGCAUUCGGAGCCCCCCUGGCUGAUUGGCUCCGGGGUCUGCCAACUGGGAGGAACUGCGCGUCAUUAA